RNAcentral lists this ribosomal RNA (502 nucleotides) under Nigrospora sphaerica. RNAcentral describes it as "eukaryotic LSU rRNA". The stretch from base 143 to 296 matches the Rfam family "5.8S ribosomal RNA". The record is from RNAcentral. Lineage: Eukaryota; Fungi; Ascomycota; Sordariomycetes; Amphisphaeriales; Apiosporaceae.
CUCCCAAACCCAUAUGAACUUAUCUCUUUGUUGCCUCGGCGCAAGCUACCCGGGACCUCGCGCCCCGGGCGGCCCGCCGGCGGACAAACCAAAACUCUUGUUAUCUUAGUUGAUUAUCUGAGUGUCUUAUUUAAUAAGUCAAAACUUUCAACAACGGAUCUCUUGGUUCUGGCAUCGAUGAAGAACGCAGCGAAAUGCGAUAAGUAAUGUGAAUUGCAGAAUUCAGUGAAUCAUCGAAUCUUUGAACGCACAUUGCGCCCAUUAGUAUUCUAGUGGGCAUGCCUGUUCGAGCGUCAUUUCAACCCCUAAGCACAGCUUAUUGUUGGGAACCUACGGCUUCGUAGUUCCUCAAAGACAUUGGCGGAGUGGCAGUGGUCCUCUGAGCGUAGUAAUCUUUUAUCUCGCUUCUGUUAGGUGCUGCCCCCCCGGCCGUAAAACCCCCAAUUUUUUCUGGUUGACCUCGGAUCAGGUAGGAAUACCCGCUGAACUUAAGCAUAUCAAA